UCAAACUUGGUCAUUUAGAGGAAGUAAAAGUCGUAACAAGGUCUCCGUUGGUGAACCAGCGGAGGGAUCAUUACAAAACGAGUAGAGAUACUCUGUAAACCACUGUGAACUUACCUGUUUUUUUGUUGCUUUGGCAGGCGGCUCCAGGGCGGAGCCUGUAUCGCCUCACCGCGGUGCCCGCCGGAGGAUACGAACCCAAACUAUGUUAUCUGUGUAACUCUGAGUAAAAUUUAGAAAAUAAGUCAAAACUUUCAACAACGGAUCUCUUGGUUCUGGCAUCGAUGAAGAACGCAGC
This 295-nucleotide unclassified non-coding RNA is filed under the name uncultured fungus. RNAcentral's name for it is "partial contains small subunit ribosomal RNA, internal transcribed spacer 1, and 5.8S ribosomal RNA". The stretch from base 1 to 73 matches the Rfam family "Eukaryotic small subunit ribosomal RNA", at positions 1759 to 1831 of the family's 1831-position model. Lineage: Eukaryota; Fungi. The record is from RNAcentral.